This is a small nucleolar RNA of Magnolia sinica, 109 nucleotides long. NCBI's taxonomy places the organism in Eukaryota, Viridiplantae, Streptophyta, Magnoliopsida, Magnoliales, Magnoliaceae. The record is from RefSeq and is a predicted model, not a curated record.
UAGCCAUGAUGUGGACAUGAAUUCAUGAGAUCCUUGAACCUCUCCUAGAAUUAGAAGAAAGUUUCCUCCUCUUUCUGAGCGAAGUUCAUGAUUGCCUUCCUUAAAGUGU